This 243-nucleotide ribosomal RNA is filed under the name uncultured bacterium. RNAcentral's name for it is "partial 16S ribosomal RNA". It matches the Rfam family "Bacterial small subunit ribosomal RNA", at positions 15 to 254 of the family's 1533-position model. The record is from RNAcentral.
GAUCCUGGCUCAGAUUGAACGCUGGCGGCAGGCUUAACACAUGCAAGUCGAACGGUAACAUAAAGAAGCUUGCUUCUUUGAUGACGAGUGGCGGACGGGUGAGUAAUGCUUGGGAAUCUAGCUUAUGGAGGGGGAUAACUACGGGAAACUGUAGCUAAUACCGCGUAGUAUCGAGAGAUGAAAGUGUGGGACCUUCGGGCCACAUGCCAUAGGAUGAGCCCAAGUGGGAUUAGGUAGUUUGGG